Molecule: ribosomal RNA, 1510 nt
Filed under: uncultured prokaryote
Description: partial 16S ribosomal RNA
Rfam family: Bacterial small subunit ribosomal RNA
Source: RNAcentral
AGAGUUUGAUCCUGGCUCAGAACGAACGCUGGCGGCGUGCCUAACACAUGCAAGUCGGACGAGAAAGCCCGCAAGGGUGAGUACAGUGGCGCACGGGUGAGUAAUGAAUAGGAAUGUACCUUUAGGUGGGGGACAACCAAGGGAAACUUUGGCUAAUACCGCAUAUUAUCGAAAGAUAAAAGGGGGCGUCGGGCAACCGAGCUCUCGCCAAAAGAGCAGCCUAUUUCCCAUUAGCUUGUUGGUAGGGUAAUGGCCUACCAAGGCUACGAUGGGUAGCGGGUCUGAGAGGAUGAUCAGCCACACUGGGACUGAGACACGGCCCAGACUCCUACGGGAGGCAGCAGUGGGGAAUAUUGCACAAUGGGCGAAAGCCUGAUGCAGCAACGCCGCGUGAGUGAAGAAGGCUUUCGGGUUGUAAAUCUCUUUCGGCUAGAAAGAAGGGUGAUAGGAAUUAAUACCUCCUAUUUUUGGACGGUACCCAUCAUAAGAAGCACCGGCUAAUUCCGUUGCCAGCAGCCGCGGUAAUACGGAAGGUGCAAGCGUUGUUCGGAUUGACUGGGCGUAAAGAGCACGUAGGCGGGUUUGUAAGUCGGAUGUGAAAGCCCCAGGCUUAACCUGGGAACUGCAUCCGAAACUACAGAUCUUGAAUUCUUGAUAGGUUGGUAGAAUUCCUGGUGUAGGAGUGAAAUCCGUAGAUAUCAGGAGGAACACCGGCGGCGAAGGCGGCCAACUGGCAAUGAAUUGACGCUGAGGUGCGAAAGCGUGGGGAGCAAACAGGAUUAGAUACCCUGGUAGUCCACGCCGUAAACGAUGGAUACUAGGUGUUUGGGAAAUUAACCUCCUGAGUACUAAAGCUAACGCAUUAAGUAUCCCGCCUGGGGAGUACGGUCGCAAGGGCCGGAACUCAAAGAAAUUGACGGGGGCCCGCACAAGCGGUGGAAGUAUGUGGUUUAAUUCGACGCAACGCGCAGAACCUUACCUACCCUUUAACAUCCCACGCUAGUACCAGGAGAUGGUAUGUUUUCUUCGGAAACGUGGUGGAUAAGGUGCCUGCAAUGGCUGUCGUCAGCUCGUGUCGUAAGAUGUCUGGUUAAGUCCAAAAACGAGCGCAACCCCUAUCCUUAGUUGCCAUCAUUAAGUUGGGGACUCUAGGGAGACUGCCGGUGUUAAACCGGAGGAAGGCGGGGAUGACGUCAAGUCCUCAUGGCCCUUACGGGUAGGGCUACACACGUACUACAAUGGUAGAAACAAACCGUCGCGAAGCCGUGAGGUGGAGCUAAUCGGUAAAACACUAUCUCAGUCCAGAUUGGAGUCUGCAACUCGACUCCAUGAAGUUGGAAUCGCUAGUAAUCGCUGAUCAGCAAGCAGCGGUGAAUACGUUCCCGGGCCUUGUACACACCGCCCGUCACACCACGAAAGUGGUCAUAACCAGAAGUGGCCGAGCUAACCGCAAGGAGGCAGCGUACCAAGGUUGUAGUCGCGAUUGGGGUGAAGUCGUAACAAGGUAACC